This 253-nucleotide ribosomal RNA is filed under the name uncultured bacterium. RNAcentral describes it as "partial 16S ribosomal RNA". It matches the Rfam family "Bacterial small subunit ribosomal RNA", at positions 524 to 776 of the family's 1533-position model. The record is from RNAcentral.
UACGUAGGGUGCAAGCGUUGUCCGGAAUUAUUGGGCGUAAAGAGCUUGUAGGCGGUUUGUCGCGUCUGCUGUGAAAACUCGGGGCUUAACCCCGGGCCUGCAGUGGGUACGGGCAGACUAGAGUGCGGUAGGGGAGACUGGAAUUCCUGGUGUAGCGGUGAAAUGCGCAGAUAUCAGGAGGAACACCGGUGGCGAAGGCGGGUCUCUGGGCCGUAACUGACGCUGAGGAGCGAAAGCGUGGGGAGCGAACAGG